CUGAAGACCCUGACGUCCACAUACCUGGCGAUGACGUCACCCACGUGCCACGUCUUCCCUUCCUAUGGGUAUAAAAGGGUCCUGAAGACGCCUGGAGAUCCUGGAAAAGCUGCUGAGGAAAUACUGUGUUAAACUGUCCAGACAGCAACUGUUCCAGUUACCCAAGACCCAGUCCAAAGUUCCUCUACAGAUCUUCAUACUCACUGUCCAGCCCUGAAACAAGGCCCUGCCUGGAGGAGGGAUAUAAGGAAGUGUUUUGGAGGAAGAAGAAAGAGAAAGAUGAUAUUUUGGACAUCUGGUUGUUCGAGUGAUAGUUUUGA
Molecule: non-coding RNA, 320 nt
Organism: Electrophorus electricus (electric eel)
Lineage: Eukaryota; Metazoa; Chordata; Actinopteri; Gymnotiformes; Gymnotidae
Source: RefSeq, a predicted model, not a curated record